RNAcentral lists this long non-coding RNA (300 nucleotides) under Hordeum vulgare. RNAcentral's name for it is "long non-coding RNA (HVUL_LNC019875)". Lineage: Eukaryota; Viridiplantae; Streptophyta; Magnoliopsida; Poales; Poaceae. The record is from RNAcentral.
UCCCGCAACGAGGGUUCUCUCUCUUUUCUCUCCUGGAACCGACACAUCCCCUGGAUGAUCGCGUCUCCUCCCGUUGUAUAAAAUGGCAGAUCCCUAUCAUCAUUGAAUCAAGAAUCUCACUUUCUUCAAACACGUUAUCGGCACUUGCCGAAGCAGAAAGAAUAAAGCGAAAGAGAACUUGCCGUUGGUAAGAUGCCAGGCCUCGUUGCCUUCUUCCUUCCCUCAUCCGCGAGGACGGUCACCGCUACCGUCACCGCCACGGAGUAGGGGGACUCCGGCGCUUCCGCCGGAGGAUGCAGG